RNAcentral lists this ribosomal RNA (460 nucleotides) under uncultured bacterium. RNAcentral describes it as "bacterial SSU rRNA". It matches the Rfam family "Bacterial small subunit ribosomal RNA", at positions 28 to 524 of the family's 1533-position model. The record is from RNAcentral.
GAUGAAUGCUGGCGGCGUGCCUAAUACAUGCAAGUCGAGCGGUAAGGCCCUUCGGGGUACACGAGCGGCGGACGGCUGAGUAACGCGUGGGAACAUGCCCCAAAGUGAGGGAUAACGCACCGAAAGGUGUGCUAAUACCGCAUAUGGUCUUCGGAUUAAAGGAUUUAUCCGCUUUGGGAGUGGCCCGCGUACGAUUAGAUUGUUGGUGAGGUAACGGCUCACCAAGUCGACGAUCGUUAACUGGUCUGAGAGGAUGAUCAGUCAGACUGGAACUGAGACACGGUCCAGACUCCUACGGGAGGCAGCAGUAAGGAAUCUUCCACAAUGGGCGAAAGCCUGAUGGAGCAACGCCGCGUGCAGGAUGAAGGCCCUCGGGUCGUAAACUGCUUUUAUGAGUGAAGAAUAUGACGGUAACUCAUGAAUAAGCACCGGCUAACUACGUGCCAGCAGCCGCGGUAAU